This 497-nucleotide ribosomal RNA is filed under the name uncultured bacterium. RNAcentral describes it as "partial 16S ribosomal RNA". It matches the Rfam family "Bacterial small subunit ribosomal RNA", at positions 28 to 507 of the family's 1533-position model. The record is from RNAcentral.
GAUGAACGCUGGCGGCGUGCCUAAUACGUGCAAGUCGAGCGAACAGACGAGGAGCUUGCUCCUCUGACGUUAGCGGCGGACGGGUGAGUAACACGUGGAUAACCUACCUAUAAGACUGGGAUAACUUCGGGAAAACGGAGCUAAUACCGGAUAACAUGUUGAACCGCAUGGUUCAACAGUGAAAGACGGGCUUGCUGUCACUUAUAGAUGGAUCCGCGCCGCAUUAGCUAGUUGGUAAGGUAACGGCUUACCAAGGCAACGAUGCGUAGCCGACCUGAGAGGGUGAUCGGCCACACUGGAACUGAGACACGGUCCAGACUCCUACGGGAGGCAGCAGUAGGGAAUCUUCCGCAAUGGGCGAAAGCCUGACGGAGCAACGCCGCGUGAGUGAAGAAGGUCUUCGGAUCGUAAAACUCUGUUAUUAGGGAAGAACAAAUGUGUAAGUAACUAUGCACGUCUUGACGGUACCUAAUCAGAAAGCCACGGCUAACUACGUG